AACGAACGCUGGCGGCAGGCUUAACACAUGCAAGUCGAACGGGUGCAGCAAUGCAUCAGUGGCAGACGGGUGAGUAACACGUGGGAACCUUCCUAGGGGUACGGAACAACUCAGGGAAACUUGAGCUAAUACCGUAUACGUCCGUGAGGAGAAAGAUUUAUCGCCCUUAGACGGGCCCGCGUCGGAUUAGCUAGCUGGUGGGGUAACGGCCUACCAAGGCGACGAUCCGUAGCUGAUCUUAGAGGAUGAUCAGCCACACUGGGACUGAGACACGGCCCAGACUCCUACGGGAGGCAGCAGUGGGAAUCUUGGACAAUGGGCGCAAGCCUGAUCCAGCCAUGCCGCGUGAGUGAAGAAGGUCUUCGGAUUGUAAAGCUCUUUGCCAGGGACGAUAAUGACGGUACCUGGAGAAUAAGCCCCGGCAAACUUCGUGCCAGCAGCCGCGGUAAU
RNAcentral lists this ribosomal RNA (450 nucleotides) under uncultured bacterium. Its description in RNAcentral is "bacterial SSU rRNA". It matches the Rfam family "Bacterial small subunit ribosomal RNA", at positions 29 to 524 of the family's 1533-position model. The record is from RNAcentral.